This 439-nucleotide ribosomal RNA is filed under the name uncultured bacterium. RNAcentral's name for it is "partial 16S ribosomal RNA". It matches the Rfam family "Bacterial small subunit ribosomal RNA", at positions 339 to 795 of the family's 1533-position model. The record is from RNAcentral.
CUACGGGGGGCUCCAGUGGGGAAUAUUGCACAAUGGACGAAAGUCUGAUGCAGCAACGCCGCGUGGAGGAUGACACAUUUCGGUGCGUAAACUCCUUUUAUAGGUCAAGAUAAUGACGGUAGCCUAUGAAUAAGCGCCGGCUAACUCCGUGCCAGCAGCCGCGGUAAUACGGAGGGCGCAAGCGUUACUCGGAAUCACUGGGCGUAAAGAGCGUGUAGGCGGGUUAAUAAGUCAGAAGUGAAAUCCAAUGGCUCAACCAUUGAACUGCUUUUGAAACUGUUAACCUAGAGUAUGGGAGAGGUAGAUGGAAUUUCUGGUGUAGGGGUAAAAUCCGUAGAGAUCAGAAGGAAUACCGAUUGCGAAGGCGAUCUACUGGAACAUUACUGACGCUGAGACGCGAAAGCGUGGGGAGCAAACAGGAUUAGAUACCCUAGUAGUC